Molecule: transfer RNA, 72 nt
Filed under: Neotoma lepida (desert woodrat)
Lineage: Eukaryota; Metazoa; Chordata; Mammalia; Rodentia; Cricetidae
Rfam family: tRNA
About the family: Transfer RNA (tRNA) molecules are approximately 80 nucleotides in length.
Source: Rfam by way of RNAcentral
GUAGAUGGAACUCAGCUGACAGAGUACUUGCCUGGAAUGCAUGAAAUCCUGGGUUCAAUCCUCAGCACUGCA